CACGUAGGGUGCGAGCGUUGUCCGGAAUUAUUGGGCGUAAAGCGCGCGUAGGCGGACCUGCAAGUCGGGGGUGAAAGCCCGAGGCUCAACCUCGGAACUGCCUUCGAUACUGCGGGUCUCGAGUCCGGGAGAGGUGAGUGGAAUUCCUAGUGUAGAGGUGAAAUUCGUAGAUAUUAGGAAGAACACCAGUGGCGAAGGCGGCUCACUGGCCCGGUACUGACGCUGAGGCGCGAAAGCGUGGGGAGCAAACAGG
RNAcentral lists this ribosomal RNA (253 nucleotides) under uncultured bacterium. RNAcentral describes it as "partial 16S ribosomal RNA". It matches the Rfam family "Bacterial small subunit ribosomal RNA", at positions 524 to 776 of the family's 1533-position model. The record is from RNAcentral.